RNAcentral lists this ribosomal RNA (301 nucleotides) under uncultured bacterium. RNAcentral describes it as "partial 16S ribosomal RNA". It matches the Rfam family "Bacterial small subunit ribosomal RNA", at positions 509 to 807 of the family's 1533-position model. The record is from RNAcentral.
CAGCCGCCACGGUAAUACGUAGGUCCCGAGCGUUGUCCGGAUUUACUGGGCGUAAAGCGGGCGCAGACGGUUACUUAAGCAGGAUGUGAAAUCCCCGGGCUCAACCUGGGAAUUGCGUUCUGAACUGGGUGGCUAGAGUGUGUCAGAGGGGGGUAGAAUUCCACGUGUAGCAGUGAAAUGCGUAGAGAUGUGGAGGAAUACCGAUGGCGAAGGCAGCCCCCUGGGAUAGCACUGACGUUCAUGCCCGAAAGCGUGGGUAGCGAACAGGAUUAGAUACCCCGGUAGUCCCUGUCUCUUAUAC